GAACGCUGGCGGCGUGCUUAACACCUGCAAGUCGAACGGUGAAGGGGCCUGCUUUUGUGGGCCCUGGAUGAGUGGCGAACGGGUGAGUAACACGUGAGUAACCUGCCCCCUUCUUCUGGAUAACCGCAUGAAAGUGUGGCUAAUACGGGAUAUUCUGGGUCUGUCGCAUGAUGGGUCUGGGAAAGAUUGCGCCUUUGGGUGUUUUUGGUGGGGGAUGGGCUCGCGGCCUAUCAGCUUGUUGGUGGGGUGAUGGCCUACCAAGGCGGUGACGGGUAGCCGGCCUGAGAGGGUGGACGGUCACACUGGGACUGAGACACGGCCCAGACUCCUACGGGAGGCAGCAGUGGGGAAUAUUGCACAAUGGGCGCAAGCCUGAUGCAGCGACGCCGCGUGAGGGAUGGAGGCCUUCGGGUUGUAAACCUCUUUCGCCAGUGAAGCAGGCCUGCUCCUUGUGGGUGGGUUGACGGUAGCUGGAUAAGAAGCGCCGGCUAACUACGUG
RNAcentral lists this ribosomal RNA (499 nucleotides) under uncultured bacterium. RNAcentral's name for it is "partial 16S ribosomal RNA". It matches the Rfam family "Bacterial small subunit ribosomal RNA", at positions 31 to 507 of the family's 1533-position model. The record is from RNAcentral.